RNAcentral lists this ribosomal RNA (442 nucleotides) under uncultured bacterium. RNAcentral's name for it is "partial 16S ribosomal RNA". It matches the Rfam family "Bacterial small subunit ribosomal RNA", at positions 338 to 795 of the family's 1533-position model. The record is from RNAcentral.
CCUACGGGAGGCUGCAGUGGGGAAUAUUGGGCAAUGGAGGCAACUCUGACCCAGCAACGCCGCGUGAGUGAUGAAGGUCUUCGGAUUGGAAAACUCUUUAAGUGGGGACGAAGAAAGUGACUGUACCCACAGAAUAAGCCUCGGCUAACUACGUGCCAGCAGCCGCGGUAAUACGGAGGAGGCAAGCGUUAUCCGGAAUUACUGGGUGUAAAGGGAGCGUAGGCGGGGAUGCAAGUUGGGUGUAAAAACUAGCGGCUCAACCGAUAGUCGCACUUAAAACUGGAGCUCUUGAGUGAAGUAGAGGCAGGCGGAAUUCCUAGUGUAGCGGUGAAAUGCGUAGAUAUUAGGAGGAACACCAGUGGCGAAGGCGGCCUGCUGGGCUUUUACUGACGCUGAGGCUCGAAAGUGUGGGGAGCAAACAGGAUUAGAUACCCGGGUAGUC